This 433-nucleotide ribosomal RNA is filed under the name uncultured Hyphomicrobium sp. RNAcentral's name for it is "bacterial SSU rRNA". It matches the Rfam family "Bacterial small subunit ribosomal RNA", at positions 8 to 489 of the family's 1533-position model. The record is from RNAcentral. Lineage: Bacteria; Pseudomonadati; Pseudomonadota; Alphaproteobacteria; Hyphomicrobiales; Hyphomicrobiaceae.
AGAGUUUGAUCCUGGCUCAGAACGAACGCUGGCGGCAGGCCUAACACAUGCAAGUCGAACGCCCCGCAAGGGGAGUGGCAGACGGGUGAGUAACACGUGGGAACCUCCCCUAUAGUAUGGAAUAGCCCAGGGAAACUUGGAGUAAUACCGUAUACGCCCGAGAGGGGAAAGAUUUAUCGCUAUAGGAUGGGCCCGCGUAGGAUUAGCUAGUUGGUGAGGUAAUGGCUCACCAAGGCGACGAUCCUUAGCUGGUCUGAGAGGACGACCAGCCACACUGGGACUGAGACACGGCCCAGACUCCUACGGGAGGCAGCAGUGGGGAAUAUUGGACAAUGGGCGAAAGCCUGAUCCAGCAAUGCCGCGUGAGUGAUGAAGGCCUUAGGGUUGUAAAGCUCUUUUACCAGGGAUGAUAAUGACAGUACCUGAGAAUAGU